RNAcentral lists this non-coding RNA (112 nucleotides) under uncultured Eubacterium sp. RNAcentral describes it as "FMN riboswitch (RFN element)". It matches the Rfam family "FMN riboswitch aptamer (RFN element)". Rfam says of the family: The RFN element is a highly conserved domain that is found frequently in the 5'-untranslated regions of prokaryotic mRNAs that encode for flavin mononucleotide (FMN) biosynthesis and transport proteins. This element is a metabolite-dependent riboswitch that directly binds FMN in the absence of proteins. Lineage: Bacteria; Bacillati; Bacillota; Clostridia; Eubacteriales; Eubacteriaceae. The record is from RNAcentral.
UAUUUUCAGGGCGAGGUGUAAUUCCUCACCGGUGGUAAAGUCCACGAGCUGUUUUUCGGCUGAUUUGGUGAAAUUCCAAAACCGACGGUUAUAGUCCGGAUGAGAGAAAAUG